RNAcentral lists this ribosomal RNA (216 nucleotides) under uncultured fungus. Its description in RNAcentral is "partial small subunit ribosomal RNA". The stretch from base 92 to 216 matches the Rfam family "Eukaryotic small subunit ribosomal RNA", at positions 738 to 865 of the family's 1831-position model. Lineage: Eukaryota; Fungi. The record is from RNAcentral.
GACCUGGCUGGGUGGUCCGCUUAACGGCGUGUACUGCCUGGCUGGGCCUUACCUCCUGGUGAGCCGGCGUGCCCUUUAUUGGUGUGCGUCGGGGAACCAGGACUUUUACCUUGAGAAAAUUAGAGUGCUCAAAGCAGGCCUAUGCCCGAAUACAUUAGCAUGGAAUAAUGAAAUAGGGCUUCAGUUCUAUUUUGUUGGUUUUCAGAAUCCGAAGCA